RNAcentral lists this ribosomal RNA (497 nucleotides) under uncultured bacterium. RNAcentral describes it as "partial 16S ribosomal RNA". It matches the Rfam family "Bacterial small subunit ribosomal RNA", at positions 28 to 507 of the family's 1533-position model. The record is from RNAcentral.
GAUGAACGCUGGCGGCGUGCCUAAUACAUGCAAGUCGAGCGAACAGACGAGGAGCUUGCUCCUCUGACGUUAGCGGCGGACGGGUGAGUAACACGUGGAUAACCUACCUAUAAGACUGGGAUAACUUCGGGAAACCGGAGCUAAUACCGGAUAAUAUAUUGAACCGCAUGGUUCAAUAGUGAAAGACGGUUUUGCUGUCACUUAUAGAUGGAUCCGCGCCGCAUUAGCUAGUUGGUAAGGUAACGGCUUACCAAGGCGACGAUGCGUAGCCGACCUGAGAGGGUGAUCGGCCACACUGGAACUGAGACACGAUCCAGACUCCUACGGGAGGCAGCAGUAGGGAAUCUUCCGCAAUGGGCGAAAGCCUGACGGAGCAACGCCGCGUGAGUGAUGAAGGUCUUCGGAUCGUAAAACUCUGUUAUUAGGGAAGAACAAAUGUGUAAGUAACUAUGCACGUCUUGACGGUACCUAAUCAGAAAGCCACGGCUAACUACGUG